This 1966-nucleotide unclassified non-coding RNA is filed under the name Apis dorsata (giant honeybee). RNAcentral's name for it is "uncharacterized LOC102676046, transcript variant X1". The record is from RNAcentral. Lineage: Eukaryota; Metazoa; Arthropoda; Insecta; Hymenoptera; Apidae.
AUUAAAACAUUCAUUUUAAAACGUCUUGUUAAUGAUAUCUUAUUAAAAUAGUACGUUGUCUCCGGAGUGGCAGAAGAAUAACACUAACGCGAAAGAUUGUCGAUUUGAAGUGCAGAAACAAGAUACAGAUCAAUUUGAGCCAAAGACUUCGUUUAGUAAUAAUGAAGUCAACAUUACAGAGGCUCAGUUAAGGUAUAUAAAAUUUUCUGAAUUUUCUGUAUCCCUAUUCUUCCAGAUUUUUGUAAACUAUUUCUGAAGAAAUGUUUAGCAGUAAGCGCAAAAAUAAUUGGAUAUAUUAGACUAGCAUUUACGUUGAAUUCGUAUUUACCACUUUUCAUCGGAAACAGAAUCCGUCGUGCAAUGGCAAUUCGACAAAAUAAGGCUUUCUAAGCGUAGAUAUUUCCAGCACAGAUAAAACUCAAGUGACAUCUAUCAACUGGAAUAAUAAAAUUAACAAAUACGAUCCCGUAUACGAAUUUAGUGCCAAUAGCGUCACUAUUCCGUCAAGACGAAAAUUUGCGUAUCCGCCGGUACCACCGCCUCGCAAUCCGUUGCCUUCCCGACGACGAGUCUCAUUCUACGACGUCGUCUUCGGGGAUAUGCGCGGAAACGACCAGAAUUGUAUCUCGAAAAUGCAAGAUGAUCAUCAUAGGCCCUGUUGCAAUAAUGAUAAUAAAAAGGAAUACAAUAAUUCUUUCGACAUUUGGCAAGCGGACGAAUCGGUUGGUAAAAACGACGGCGGAUACGAAAAUAUUAAUGUAAAUUAUACCAAAGAUAGUGGCAGAAUGCAUUUUGAAAAAAGCGCGUCGGACUGUGGUGAAGAAGACACGUUAAGUAAAUGCAAUGACAUCGAGAAGAGUCGUGGACAAGAUCAUUGCAUCGAAGGUAAUUCAGAAUCGCGCGCGUACAGAAUAAUGAACGAGAAAGAUGAUGCAUCGUCGAAAGAAGACGCUAUGACGUACGGUCAUCAAAGUGGCCCGAAUUCAUCGAACGAACUUGAUGAUAAUGAACGAAUGCGGGGAGGAUGCGGUGGACCGUGCGGACCUCGUGUUAGACUUCCAUGUGGAACAGUGAAAGUUGAAACUGCUUGUCUUUGUAAAAGAGAGCCAGAACCAUGUCGCGUUGUGACAUCUUGUGCGACUUGUGCUACAACACCAUGUGCCGAUAGACGUAGUUGUUGCUCAUCGUCAAGUGAUCGGCCAGUUUGCAAAAAAUCAAUUAUUAAAUGUCGUCCACCGUGCAUCGGAGAAUCUCCAACUUGUGGAGGAGGUGGAUGUUGCGGAGGUGGAUGUCGUGGUGGUUGUGGAAAACCUGGACAAACGUGUUUACCGAAUCCAUCAAGACUUUGCACGACACCUUGCCGACCGUGUUCACCUUGUUCCCCACCAAAGCCAUGCGCUCCACAAAUAAUUUGCUAUUGCGGUCAAAAAUGUGGAAAUUGUUGUGGAAGUGGGAAUCGUGCAUGUUGUUGUCGGUAAGAAUUUUUAAUAUUGACUCUUUAUAUCGANGCAGAAGAUGUUGUAGUACCGAAAGGGCUGAACCAAUAGUCAUUGAGUCAGGAUGUUGUCGACCGAAAUCUGGUUGCGAAUGUUUGGGUGGAGGAGUUGAUUGUCAACGCUGUGGACGAAAAGUAUAUCAAGCUGAAAUGCAGCUGCUACUGCUGUAGAAAACCCUUGGAACCGUUAACAUAUCAAGAAAAUUGUGGGGAAAUUUAUUGCAAACAAUGUUAUGUUCGAAAUUUCGGACCUCAAGGAUAUGGAUACGGCGUGGGACCAGGUACAUUACAAACUCCUAUGUGAAGUUAUUAUACAACAUUAAUUAACUUUAUUAUCUCAAAAUUAGUUAUAAAUAACUUAUACAUGACAAUUUUUACUUCAUAGUUUGUACUUCUUUUUUAUAAUUCAUUCAUUAAAACAUAAUUUACAAAAUAUAUAAAUAUUUCCUCUUGAUAUAAUUUAACAUUUAU